UUGGAAAGUAGUUUCAGGCAGGAAAGAAAGGAACUCCAAUCCCAGAGAGUGACUGCAGAAGGUAUGCAGACCAGGAGGGUCAAGAAGGAAAUCCUGGAAUCCUUGCCUGAGUAGAGAAGGCUGGCAAGCAACUAGGACAAACACAGGGUAGCUACCAGAGUAGAGCAGACUAAGGUGGUGUGCCCUGAUAAAAGGGCAGGUUGGGGAUUUCCCAGGCUGUAAGUAUCUGCAUCUGCCGUGGUUUGUGAAGGGGAUAAGGACCAUUGAAAGCCUGGAAAAAAGAGAUGUGAGGACCACGGAGCCCAGAAAUAGAGCUAAAACCCGUUUUUGUAAGGACACUGGGGCUUCUUAUUUGUUGGACUUUGUUACCAUGAAAGUGAUGGACCUAAAUGUGACCUGUCCAGAGGGCUGAGCUGUGAGAAGCUGACGGUGUGCUGCAGGACCAGAGCAACCAUCACAGGGCAUAAUAGAGAAGAUUGAGUUGCUACACAGCACUCCGCCACAAGGAAAAACUACAAUGGGGAAGAUAAAAGCUGAUGUCAACAAUUGGAGAGCCUUGUCCUGAUCAUUGUGAUAAUACAAAAUGUGGAAAUGAAGAGAAAAUACAAACAUGAUGCUUAAUAAUAUUCCCCCCACUUACAAAAUUGACAAUGCGUGACAAAUGCCCAAAAUGUGGAACACUAGCCUUUUGCUGGGCAUCAUGACACAAACCCUUUUAUAUCUGUCACUUAUCUGUAAAACCAGUUUUCAAGGAUGUUUUCUCACACUGCAGAUUAAAGCAGUUUUUUAUAACAAAAUCUGGGGAGGAAAAAAAUUCCAUCAUAUGCAACUAUAAGGACUAUACAUACAAGUUGAAGCCUGAUGCUUCAGAUCCCCAUCAUAGGCUUCUAUCAUUGUUUAUCUUCUAUGUGGAGCAGCUAGAUACUGUAUGUAUGGUGGAGGUACAUCUAAGUGGAUAAAUAUAAUAAUUAGAUUUACUUGUCUCAGUUGCAUGCCUGGGAUCUUCAGAGAGAAGCACUUUGUAAACUUUUGAAGAUGAACUUCUCUGCCAUAAAUGUAGCAGCAACCUCCAUCAGCAGACACUCAAAUGAAUAGGUAUGUGUCAUACCUCAAUUACUUUCCUCCUAACUUCCCAGUACUGACAAAGGAGCUAAUUCAGAAUAUGAAGUGAUUGAAAAACUCAUCUCCUGUGCCAAAUAUCACUGCUUCUCCAGGAUAUUCACUUUCCCAGCGAUAGGAGAGAGUUGACAAAGUGUGACCAGUUCUAUGGCAGGCCUAGAAUACGUUCACAAAUAUAAAAUGGUGUCAUGCUUGAUUGCUAGUCACCUUUAAAAGGCACCCAAUUUAAAAGGCAUUGAAAUUUUCUUAAAGAUGUUGCAACUACUGAUAACUGAGACAUGUACUGCUUCCCUCCUAUCUUCUGAUUUUCUAUAUCUUUGUUCAGUCUCCUUCUUUAGAAUAUUUAAAUGUCAUUCCAUGUUUUGCCACCAAAUAAUGUGUGAAUUGACCUAAGAUUACAAAUGUUCUGCCUACAUUGCUGAAAUAAAUGUUGAUAAACUGGAUAUGGAGAAGAAGACCUAUGAAAGGAGUGAGUUUAAAAAUGCUACAAUUUUUAGGGCCAGAUUGUGUUUUACUCUAGGCACAGAUGCUCAAUCGAGGGGUGGAAGGGGCAAGAGAGCAAUGUCUCUCCUCUCCCUUGGUAGUGACUAGCAACAAUUUCUGCUCUUCUGAUCCCUAAGCCUCAUGAGAACUAGUGCUUGUAGUGUCAGUAUGGGGGCCAGUGAGAUGAGCUGAUGUGGAGAAGGGGAAGGUAGUGCUGCUGUUAGCAGUAUGUCAGAGCCCAGGAAAAUUUCUGAUAGUCUUUCUGAAUUCCUCCUGGAGCUGACUGCAGAAUAGCUGUUCCUCACCAUCAAUAUGUGGUUAAAAUCCUGACUUAGUCCUCAUGUGCUCAUGUUCAGUGAUUUUUAUUUUUAUUUGAGUGUUAUUCUUUCUUUUAAUCCUGAUUCCAUCAUCUUGGUUAGAAUUAAGGUUACAUGAGUGCCAGUUACAUGGUUAAUUCUAACCUCUGAGUAAUGACCAUAUGACAAAUGGGUAAAGCUACUGCAGAGGAGUUUUGUUUCUGAACAGUUGACAUAUGAUUCUUAUAUUUUAUAAGUUCCACUAGAGGCAAGAAUGUGUUUGUUUCUCACCCGUAUAAUAAAACUUCUUUGUGACGAUAUUUUUUUUUUAUCUACUGAAUAGGUUUUUUUUCUCUGACUUGGUGACUUUGUGUUGCCUAAUGAUGAGUAUGAUUUGCUUCUCCUCUUUGAAGUAAUCUUGAUCUACAUAUUUACAAUUACAUCAGAUUCUCUAACAUAAUACAAUUAACAAUGUCUUUGAAGCUAGCAUAUGGGACUGUUUGCACAGAAGUAGCAUGAUACUGCACAGCUCCUGUAUGUUUUACUGAAGUUUGGCUUGUGCUGAUUUAAUUUGAGUCAGUUACAUUAUU
Molecule: long non-coding RNA, 2488 nt
Organism: Dermochelys coriacea (leatherback sea turtle)
Lineage: Eukaryota; Metazoa; Chordata; Testudines; Dermochelyidae
Exons: 3
Source: RefSeq, a predicted model, not a curated record